This 440-nucleotide ribosomal RNA is filed under the name uncultured Bacteroidota bacterium. Its description in RNAcentral is "bacterial SSU rRNA". It matches the Rfam family "Bacterial small subunit ribosomal RNA", at positions 917 to 1359 of the family's 1533-position model. The record is from RNAcentral. Lineage: Bacteria; Pseudomonadati; Bacteroidota.
GGGCCCGCACAAGCGGAGGAACAUGUGGUUUAAUUCGAUGAUACGCGAGGAACCUUACCCGGGCUUGAAUUGCAUUUGAAUGUGAAGGAAACUUUACAGUCGCAAGACAGAUGUGAAGGUGCUGCAUGGUUGUCGUCAGCUCGUGCCGUGAGGUGUCGGCUUAAGUGCCAUAACGAGCGCAACCCUUACCGUUAGUUACCAGCAUGUUAUGAUGGGGACUCUAGCGGGACUGCCACCGUAAGGUGUGAGGAAGGUGGGGAUGACGUCAAAUCAGCACGGCCCUUACGUCCGGGGCUACACACGUGUUACAAUGGGGGGGACAGAAGGUCGCUACCGUGCGAACGGAUGCUAAUCUUUAAACCCUCUCCCAGUUCGGAUUGGAGUCUGCAACCCGACUCCAUGAAGCCGGAUUCGCUAGUAAUCGCGCAUCAGCCAUGGCG